UAGGGAAUCUUCGGCAAUGGGCGAAAGCCUGACCGAGCAACGCCGCGUGAAUGAUGAAGGCCUUCGGGUUGUAAAAUUCUGUUAUAAGGGAAGAAUGGCUCUAGUAGGAAAUGGCUAGAGUGUGACGGUACCUUAUGAGAAAGCCACGGCUAACUACGUGCCAGCAGCCGCGGUAAUACGUAGGUGGCGAGCGUUAUCCGGAAUUAUUGGGCGUAAAGAGCGCGCAGGUGGUUGAUUAAGUCUGAUGUGAAAGCCCACGGCUUAACCGUGGAGGGUCAUUGGAAACUGGUCAACUUGAGUGCAGAAGAGGGAAGUGAAAUUCCAUGUGUAGCGGUGAAAUGCGUAGAGAUAUGGAGGAACACCAGUGGCGAAGGCGACUUACUGGGCCGUAACUGACGUUGAGGCGCGAAAGCGUGGGGAGCGAACA
This 427-nucleotide ribosomal RNA is filed under the name uncultured prokaryote. Its description in RNAcentral is "bacterial SSU rRNA". It matches the Rfam family "Bacterial small subunit ribosomal RNA", at positions 355 to 774 of the family's 1533-position model. The record is from RNAcentral.